Doryrhamphus excisus (bluestripe pipefish) is the source of this 134-nucleotide small nucleolar RNA. RefSeq annotates it as small nucleolar RNA SNORA17. The record is from RefSeq and is a predicted model, not a curated record. Lineage: Eukaryota; Metazoa; Chordata; Actinopteri; Syngnathiformes; Syngnathidae.
UCUGCCCCUUAAGGCGUUGCAGCGCAACCAUCCAUGUUGCAGCUGUGUCAAAAGGUGGCGGAGAGCACAGGUGGUCGUCUGCACCGGGUCUCCGGUGAUUAAUGAGGACUCGGCGUGAAUAUUGACCACCGACA